Molecule: long non-coding RNA, 441 nt
Filed under: Androctonus crassicauda
Lineage: Eukaryota; Metazoa; Arthropoda; Arachnida; Scorpiones; Buthidae
Source: RNAcentral
AUUCUUAAUAAAAGUGAAGUUUCUUAGGUGGAAUUAAAGAAAUAUUAUUUGUUUUGAACAUAACUUUGAAAAGUUUUUAUGUUUGCUGCGGGUCUGGUAUAACAGGGUUUCGCAUCACACGGCGUUUUUUGGCAACCUCUCUACCGUGUUAUACGAAAAUUACCUAAAUGUUAGGAACGUGUUUUCCCAACCGAUUGGGCCGGGGAUUUCGCACUGAUGCCAUACUCCAACCUAGUCGAAUGCCAUCUGCAAAAUACCACUGGCUAGUUUUAUUACGUAACUGCAAACGAUGCGACGAAUUAACGAAGUGGUACUCAUCCCCUAACUGGCCAAAACGGCGGCCAUUAAUUUGUAAAUGUAAACAUGGUCAAUCGAAUUGGCCGCCUGGAAACGCUUCGGCUUUCCACUCUGGAAGAUCCGGUUUCGAAUCUCGGAUCCCAU